AGUAGUUUGAUCAGUGGCUCGAGGACACGCUGGCGGCGUGCUUUAACACAUGCAAGUCGAACGGUAAGGCCCUUCGGGGUACACGAGUGGCGAACGGGUGAGUAACACGUGGGUGAUCUGCCCUGCACUUUGGGAUAAGCCUGGGAAACUGGGUCUAAUACCGAAUAGGACUCCGGACUGCAUGGUCUGGGGUGGAAAGCUUUUGCGGUGUGGGAUGGGCCCGCGGCCUAUCAGCUUGUUGGUGGGGUGAUGGCCUACCAAGGCGACGACGGGUAGCCGGCCUGAGAGGGUGACCGGCCACACUGGGACUGAGAUACGGCCCAGACUCCUACGGGAGGCAGCAGUGGGGAAUAUUGCACAAUGGGCGCAAGCCUGAUGCAGCGACGCCGCGUGAGGGAUGACGGCCUUCGGGUUGUAAACCUCUUUCAGCACAGACGAAGCGCAAGUGACGGUAUGUGCAGAAGAAGGACCGGCCAACUACGUG
RNAcentral lists this ribosomal RNA (484 nucleotides) under uncultured bacterium. RNAcentral's name for it is "bacterial SSU rRNA". It matches the Rfam family "Bacterial small subunit ribosomal RNA", at positions 1 to 507 of the family's 1533-position model. The record is from RNAcentral.